Melitaea cinxia (Glanville fritillary) is the source of this 421-nucleotide long non-coding RNA. RefSeq lists it as uncharacterized. Lineage: Eukaryota; Metazoa; Arthropoda; Insecta; Lepidoptera; Nymphalidae. The record is from RefSeq and is a predicted model, not a curated record. The transcript has 2 exons.
CCUCAGAUUAAUAAACAAAAGGCAGAUGGAGCGCACCGAACAUGCGAGUGAAGCCACCAAAGCGAAUACAAAAUCAAAAGCGAAUACAAAGUCGCAGCAGUGCUAAAAAUAGCGUCGUAUUGUUUAAACGUCUCGAGUGAUUCAUUAUUUUGUGUAAAAAAAUGCCGUCUUGUGUUAUUAAACAUCGUGAAAGUUGUUCCCAAAAAUAAAAAAAAGAGGAUGGAAUUUCAUUUCACAGAUUGCCGACAGAUGUUGUUCUACGCGAGGAAUGGGUUUCUAUUAUUCGCCAAAGCAGGCAAGACAAUAAUUGGCAGGCUUCAAAAUUUUGCGUUGUGUGUUCAUUACAUUUUAAAGAGGAUGGCUUAUGCUUUAUCGAAAAAUGUCGUUGGUUGAUAAAAAAAAAUUCCAAUGUAAUUAUUUG